RNAcentral lists this ribosomal RNA (438 nucleotides) under Staphylococcus pseudintermedius. Its description in RNAcentral is "bacterial SSU rRNA". It matches the Rfam family "Bacterial small subunit ribosomal RNA", at positions 1 to 428 of the family's 1533-position model. The record is from RNAcentral. Lineage: Bacteria; Bacillati; Bacillota; Bacilli; Caryophanales; Staphylococcaceae.
UUUAUGGAGAGUUUGAUCCUGGCUCAGGAUGAACGCUGGCGGCGUGCCUAAUACAUGCAAGUCGAGCGAACAGAUAAGGAGCUUGCUCCUUUGACGUUAGCGGCGGACGGGUGAGUAACACGUGGGUAACCUACCUAUAAGACUGGAAUAACUCCGGGAAACCGGGGCUAAUGCCGGAUAACAUGUUGAACCGCAUGGUUCUACAGUGAAAGACGGUCUUGCUGUCACUUAUAGAUGGACCCGCGCCGUAUUAGCUAGUUGGUGGGGUAACGGCCUACCAAGGCGACGAUACGUAGCCGACCUGAGAGGGUGAUCGGCCACACUGGAACUGAGACACGGUCCAGACUCCUACGGGAGGCAGCAGUAGGGAAUCUUCCGCAAUGGGCGAAAGCCUGACGGAGCAACGCCGCGUGAGUGAUGAAGGUCUUCGGAUCGUAA